AUUGAACGCUGGCGGCAGGCCUAACACAUGCAAGUCGAGCGGAUGAGGGGAGCUUGCUCCUGGAUUCAGCGGCGGACGGGUGAGUAAUGCCUAGGAAUCUGCCUGGUAGUGGGGGAUAACGUCCGGAAACGGGCGCUAAUACCGCAUACGUCCUGAGGGAGAAAGUGGGGGAUCUUCGGACCUCACGCUAUCAGAUGAGCCUAGGUCGGAUUAGCUAGUUGGUGGGGUAAAGGCCUACCAAGGCGACGAUCCGUAACUGGUCUGAGAGGAUGAUCAGUCACACUGGAACUGAGACACGGUCCAGACUCCUACGGGAGGCAGCAGUGGGGAAUAUUGGACAAUGGGCGAAAGCCUGAUCCAGCCAUGCCGCAUGUGUGAAGAAGGUCUUCGGAUUGUAAAGCACUUUAAGUUGGGAGGAAGGGCAGUAAGUUAAUACCUUGCUGUUUUGACGUUACCAACAGAAUAAGCACCGGCUAACUUCGUG
RNAcentral lists this ribosomal RNA (484 nucleotides) under uncultured bacterium. RNAcentral describes it as "partial 16S ribosomal RNA". It matches the Rfam family "Bacterial small subunit ribosomal RNA", at positions 30 to 507 of the family's 1533-position model. The record is from RNAcentral.